Molecule: ribosomal RNA, 253 nt
Filed under: uncultured bacterium
Lineage: Bacteria
Description: partial 16S ribosomal RNA
Rfam family: Bacterial small subunit ribosomal RNA
Source: RNAcentral
GACGAACCGUCCUAACGUUGUUCGGAUUCACUGGGCUUAAAGGGCGCGUAGGCGGGCUGCCAAGUCCGGGGUGAAAUCUUUCGGCUCAACCGGAAAAGUGCCUUGGAAACUGACAGCCUCGAGGGGGGUAGGGGCCUGUGGAACUUCGGGUGGAGCGGUGAAAUGCGUUGAUAUCCGAAGGAACGCCGGUGGCGAAAGCGACGGGCUGGACCCCUUCUGACGCUGAGGCGCGAAAGCCAGGGGAGCAAACGGG